AGAUUUGAGAGAGAGGAGAGAGAGAGUGAAAGUGCCAGUGCAAGAGAAAGUCAAAAUAGGUGCCUGCAUGAAAGAAGAAAAGUGCCUAAUGGG
Molecule: long non-coding RNA, 93 nt
Organism: Alosa sapidissima (American shad)
Lineage: Eukaryota; Metazoa; Chordata; Actinopteri; Clupeiformes; Clupeidae
Exons: 3
Source: RefSeq, a predicted model, not a curated record